AGUCGCACGAGAAGGGUAGCAAUACCUGAGUACAGUGGCGCACGGGUGAGUAACACGUGAAUCAUCUACCUUCGAGUGGGGAAUAACUGGGAGAAAUCUCAGCUAAUACCGCAUAAUACCCACGGGUCAAAGCAGCAAUGCGCUUGAAGAGGAGUUCGCGGCAGAUUAGUUAGUUGGCGGGGUAAUGGCCCACCAAGACGAUGAUCUGUAUCCGGCCUGAGAGGGCGCACGGACACACUGGAACUGAAACACGGUCCAGACUCCUACGGGAGGCAGCAGUGGGGAAUUUUGCGCAAUGGGGGAAACCCUGACGCAGCAACGCCGCGUGGAGGAUGAAAUCCCUUGGGAUGUAAACUCCUUUCGAUCGGGACGAUUAUGACGGUACCGGAAGAAGAAGCCCCGGCUAACUUCGUGCCAGCAGCCGCGGUAAUACGAGGGGGGCAAGCGUUGUUCGGAAUUAUUGGGCGUAAAGGGCGCGUAGGCGGUUUGACAAGUCUGAUGUGAAAUCUAUGGGCUCAACCCAUAGCCUGCAUUAGAAACUGUCGGGCUUGAGUAUGGGAGAGGUGAGUAGAAUUUCCGGUGUAGCGGUGAAAUGCGUAGAUAUCGGAAGGAACACCUGUGGCGAAAGCGGCUCACUGGACCAUAACUGACGCUGAGGCGCGAAAGCUAGGGGAGCAAACAGGAUUAGAUACCCUGGUAGUCCUAGCCCUAAACAAUGAUUGCUUGGUGUGACAGG
This 736-nucleotide ribosomal RNA is filed under the name uncultured bacterium. Its description in RNAcentral is "bacterial SSU rRNA". It matches the Rfam family "Bacterial small subunit ribosomal RNA", at positions 60 to 829 of the family's 1533-position model. The record is from RNAcentral.